AUUUGAGUUCUCCUUAACGAAUUGUCAUUAAAAACAACUCAUUAAACUCUCGAGCCCAAUCACUUGCUUAUUUAUAGUAUAACCCUCAAUUAAUCUACCACUACCAUUGUAGUAAGAAAAUUUUGAGUUUGCCGUCAUCACCCUUUCCCUUUUACUUUUCUAUCGUGAAUAGUUAUAAACUAAAGAAAAUUUGUUAAAAAAUUAAGAAUGAAUUCUUUUGAUUUGUAAAUUUGUACUUGACCUCAUACUAAAGGUGUUAAAGGGGCAAAUUAACACAUUGUUGUACUAAAGAGACAUCUAAGAAUUAUAAAAAAAUUGGAAGUCUUUUUAUUACAACUCCAUAAGUACUAAAACCAGUAUUUAAUUGAUGUAAUCAGAAUAUGAGUUUGAUAAAUCAAAAAGUGAUAAAAUAAAAUUCUAUUUUUUUUUUUUGGUUUAAUACAUACAAAAAGUAGAAAAUAUGAAUAAAAUUUUCAGGUUUGUUAAUUUUAUGAUGAUUGUUCUUUCCCUAUUUAUUGUUUCAACGCAAAGCCAACGCCGUGGUCCCGUGAGUUGUAUUACUGAUCGUGAUUGUCCAUAUAAGGCCUUCUCCUCGUAUGGCAAACGUCCUGUAAGAAUGAGGUGUCGUAAAGGUUUUUGUGAAUGACAAUAAUUAUAAAGCUCCAAAGAUUAUAUAAUUAUCAAACCCAAAUUAAAAGAAUACACAACGCGCUACUAGAUAUUCCAUGAGUCCUUAUUUAGUUCAUGUGAUAAUCCACUAAAUAAAUUUUCUUUUAAUUUUUCUAAUUUCAGGUACCUUGUUAGUUUUGCACUUUAAGAUGAUGCGAAAUGAAAUAAAGCAUGAAUAAUAUUAUCUACACUUUCUUCUCUA
Molecule: long non-coding RNA, 871 nt
Organism: Trifolium pratense (red clover)
Lineage: Eukaryota; Viridiplantae; Streptophyta; Magnoliopsida; Fabales; Fabaceae
Exons: 2
Source: RefSeq, a predicted model, not a curated record